GCCAGACUCCUACGGGAGGCAGCAGUGGGGAAUUUUGCGCAAUGGGGGAAACCCUGACGCAGCAACGCCGCGUGCGGGACGAAGGCCCUCGGGUCGUAAACCGCUUUCAGCAGGGAAGACCACGACGGUACCUGCAAAGGAAGCACCGGCUAACUCCGUGCCAGCAGCCGCGGUAAUACGGAGGGUGCGAGCGUUAAUCGGAAUUACUGGGCGUAAAGCGCUCGUAGGCGGUAUGUCAAGUCAAGGGUGAAAUCCCCGCGCUCAACGUGGGAACUGCCUUUGAAACUGGCAAACUGGAGUGUGUGAGAGGAUAGUGGAAUUCCAGGUGUAGGAGUGAAAUCCGUAGAUAUCUGGAGGAACAUCAGUGGCGAAGGCGACUAUCUGGCACAUAACUGACGCUGAGGAGCGAAAGCGUGGGUAGCAAACAGGAUUAGAUACCCCAGUA
RNAcentral lists this ribosomal RNA (445 nucleotides) under uncultured bacterium. Its description in RNAcentral is "bacterial SSU rRNA". It matches the Rfam family "Bacterial small subunit ribosomal RNA", at positions 330 to 792 of the family's 1533-position model. The record is from RNAcentral.